RNAcentral lists this ribosomal RNA (202 nucleotides) under uncultured Actinomycetales bacterium. RNAcentral describes it as "partial 16S ribosomal RNA". It matches the Rfam family "Bacterial small subunit ribosomal RNA", at positions 131 to 334 of the family's 1533-position model. Lineage: Bacteria; Bacillati; Actinomycetota; Actinomycetes; Actinomycetales. The record is from RNAcentral.
CCUUACUUUGGGAUAAGCCUGGGAAACUGGGUCUAAUACUGGAUAGGACCAUGCUGUAGGUGGUGUGGUGGAAAGAUUAGUUUCGGUAAGGGAUGAGCUCGCGGCCUAUCAGCUUGUUGGUGGGGUAAUGGCCUACCAAGGCGUCGACGGGUAGCCGGCCUGAGAGGGUGGGCGGCCACAUUGGGACUGAGAUACGGCCCAG